RNAcentral lists this ribosomal RNA (253 nucleotides) under uncultured bacterium. Its description in RNAcentral is "partial 16S ribosomal RNA". It matches the Rfam family "Bacterial small subunit ribosomal RNA", at positions 524 to 776 of the family's 1533-position model. The record is from RNAcentral.
UACGUAGGUGGCAAGCGUUGUCCGGAUUUAUUGGGUUUAAAGGGUGCGUAGGCGGCCCUGUAAGUCAGUGCUGAAAUAUCCCAGCUUAACUGGGAGGGUGGCAUUGAUACUGCGGGGCUAGAGUACAGAUGAGGUAGGCGGAAUUGACGGUGUAGCGGUGAAAUGCUUAGAUAUGUCACAGAACACCGAUUGCGAAGGCAGCUCACUAAAGUGUAACUGACGCUGAGGCACGAAAGCGUGGGGAUCAAACAGG